AUUUACUUUGGGAGUGAGAUAGGGCUCAAGGAUUUAAACUACAAAUAUACAUAACUAAAUUUUAUAUCUAGCAGGAAAGAGUAGAUAAGAGCGACCUUUUUUUUUUUUUUUUGCCCAGAGGAAGUAUCAUUUUCCAUCUCCCAAAAACAUGUUUCAAAUUAUGCUAACACACCAGCUAUGUAACAAUUUAUUCAUUUCCACUCAUUGAUCAUCCCAGUACUAUUUCCUGUUUACUAAGGAAUCAUCACGAUUAUUCCAAAAUCUCAAAUGGCUCCUAUUUUGAAGCCAAUCUCCCAAGUGAACAAUGUCUUCUUCCCUCUAAAAUAUCUUGAAAUAUUUUGAAAUAUAUUCUUGAAAUUCCAUUUAUUUUUAAAUAUUUUAUUUUGAAUCAUUUCAAACAGAUGACCAAUAUCCAUGUACUUUCCACCCAGCUUUAACAAGUAUCAAUUUUUUGCCACCUUUGCAUCAGAUUUUUUAUGACCCCUCUAUAAACAGGUCUGUGAAGAAAAACUCCAGUAGGCGAUACAGCUGUAUUCUUUGACAUAAGGGUAUUAGGAGCUGUUAGACUCUACAUCUUUAAGGUUUUUAAGGUAGAAAGCUAAUUCACUGUAGAACUAACUUCAUUACAAAUAUUUUAAAUAAAUGUAAAUAUGAAGACAGAGACAAAGACAUUUUAAAAUGUAUUGUAUCCUUCCUGUCUCGGGUGCCCAGAUGAACUUUCAAAAUAAAUGUCCUAGACAACAGAACCAUAGGCUAGUUUCUUUUACCUCCUUCUGUGUCUGCUUCCUGUGGUGUAGUAACAUCCUGGAUAGAAAUAAAAUAAUCAAUAUUACAAAGUCUCUUGGGAAGAAAACCAACUCUAAACAGGGAUUUCUUAUGGAGAGAAGAGAUACCUAAACCUGUGGUCACAAAGGCACAAACUAGUUGCAGUAAGGUUAAUCAUGGUGUUUUUUUUUUAAAUGUAUUUUGGGCUCAAGUCGAUACCAAAGAACUAGGAAGAGUGAAAAUGUGCAUCUCCUCACUCGAAUAACAGUCGGAAAAUCGAGCCACUGCCCUUUUUAGAAACAAAAUAAAACAAAAAACACAACAAUAGCUACACUUAAAAGGAACACAAAGGCUGGACUUCUUCCGGGGAAAGGGAAGCUCGCCUUAACAAUUGGGAGUGAGUGCAGAUAUUUUCAUCCCUUAAAAGAUGCUGUUUCUCAUAGGCUGCUACCUUGUCAUCUGCUGAACUUACCAACAAGCGCUAAAGAUGAGACAGUCAGACAACCCCUCCCUCCUCACUGCUCCUCCUGCUAUCCCCUCGCCUUUAUCCACAAGCACAGGAAAUACCGCACAUUGCAGGAAGCUCCGGUUUGAUAUGUUCACGUCCUCCCUUGUUAGGAGGCUCUGACAGCACACUUAGAGCUGGGGGGCUGUGUCCCAGCCCGACGGCUUCACUGAGCACAAGUCAUACGUGCUCGCUCCCUCAAGGGCACUCCGAAGGAAAGGAUGGCCAAGCAUGUUUUCCUUUUCAAUACAUCCCUAUUAUCUGUGUCUGCGAAAUUUUGAACCUGUAAACUCUACGAAUGGAGCAACACAGGCUUAAAUCAGAAAGACUAUUUCAGAAUUCACUGCUCCCUAUUUAAAACUACAAAUGAACUGGCCCCAGAAAAAUUGCAGGGGGACCAGAGUAGACGAUGAGAGAAGAAAGUCUCAGUCUAGGCAGAGAGCCAGUAUAGGCUGGCCAUUCUGAGCAAAGUGGCACUUGUGUAUUAUUAGUAUUUCCCAAACAGCCUCUGAACACGUUGUGGUACUAGACUAUGGUAAAUCCAUUAUCCAUUGUAGACAGAGGAGGUCUCUCCCUGAGAUCAAAAAAAAAAAAAAAAAAA
Non-coding RNA from Vicugna pacos (alpaca), 1871 nucleotides. NCBI's taxonomy places the organism in Eukaryota, Metazoa, Chordata, Mammalia, Artiodactyla, Camelidae. The record is from RefSeq and is a predicted model, not a curated record.